CGCGGCCUAUCAGCUUGUUGGUGGGGUAGUGGCCUACCAAGGCGACGACGGGUAGCCGGCCUGAGAGGGUGACCGGCCACACUGGGACUGAGACACGGCCCAGACUCCUACGGGAGGCAGCAGUGGGGAAUAUUGCGCAAUGGGCGGAAGCCUGACGCAGCGACGCCGCGUGGGGGAUGACGGCCUUCGGGUUGUAAACCUCUUUCAGCAGGGACGAAGCGAGAGUGACGGUACCUGCAGAAGAAGCACCGGCCAACUACGUGCCAGCAGCCGCGGUAAUACGUAGGGUGCAAGCGUUGUCCGGAAUUAUUGGGCGUAAAGAGCUCGUAGGCGGUCUGUCGCGUCGGCUGUGAAAUCCCGAGGCUCAACCUCGGGUCUGCAGUCGAUACGGGCAAACUGGAGUACUGCAGGGGAGACUGGAAUUCCUGGUGUAGCGGUGAAAUGCGCAGAUAUCAGGAGGAACACCGGUGGCGAAGGCGGGUCUCUGGGCAGUAACUGACGCUGAGGAGCGAAAGCGUGGGGAGCGAACAGGAUUAGAUACCCUGGUAGUCCACGCCGUAAACGUUGGGCGCUAGGUGUGGGGCUCAUUCCACGAGUUCCGUGCCGCAGCUAACGCAUUAAGCGCCCCGCC
RNAcentral lists this ribosomal RNA (631 nucleotides) under uncultured bacterium. Its description in RNAcentral is "bacterial SSU rRNA". It matches the Rfam family "Bacterial small subunit ribosomal RNA", at positions 232 to 873 of the family's 1533-position model. The record is from RNAcentral.